This 500-nucleotide ribosomal RNA is filed under the name uncultured bacterium. RNAcentral describes it as "partial 16S ribosomal RNA". It matches the Rfam family "Bacterial small subunit ribosomal RNA", at positions 30 to 523 of the family's 1533-position model. The record is from RNAcentral.
AUUGGACGCUGGCGGCAGGCUUAACACAUGCAAGUCGAGCGGGGAAGGGUAGCUUGCUACCUAACCUAGCGGCGGACGGGUGAGUAAUGCUAGGAAUCUGCCAUUUAGUGGGGGACAACAUUCCGAAAGGAAUGCUAAUACCGCAUACGUCCUACGGGAGAAAGCAGGGGAUCUUCGGACCUUGCGCUAAAUGAUGAGCCUAAGUCGGAUUAGCUAGUUGGUGGGGUAAAGGCCUACCAAGGCGACGAUCUGUAGCGGGUCUGAGAGGAUGAUCCGCCACACUGGGACUGAGACACGGCCCAGACUCCUACGGGAGGCAGCAGUGGGGAAUAUUGGACAAUGGGCGGAAGCCUGAUCCAGCCAUGCCGCGUGUGUGAAGAAGGCCUUAUGGUUGUAAAGCACUUUAAGCGAGGAGGAGGCUACUUAGAUUAAUACUCUAGGAUAGUGGACGUUACUCGCAGAAUAAGCACCGGCUAACUCUGUGCCAGCCGCCGCAGUAA